UACGUAGGUGGCAAGCGUUAUCCGGAUUUAUUGGGCGUAAAGGGAACGCAGGCGGUCUUUUAAGUCUGAUGUGAAAGCCUUCGGCUUAACCGGAGUAGUGCAUUGGAAACUGGGAGACUUGAGUGCAGAAGAGGAGAGUGGAACUCUAUGUGUAGCGGUGAAAUGCGUAGAUAUAUGGAAGAGCACCAGUGGCGAAAGCGGCUCUCUGGUCUGUAACUGACGCUGAGGUUCGAAAGCGUGGGUAGCAAACAGG
This 253-nucleotide ribosomal RNA is filed under the name uncultured bacterium. RNAcentral's name for it is "partial 16S ribosomal RNA". It matches the Rfam family "Bacterial small subunit ribosomal RNA", at positions 524 to 776 of the family's 1533-position model. The record is from RNAcentral.